UGGUUUUAAAUAACGUUCUUUCAGGACCACUAUCGUUAAAGAUGAUUGAAAAUUAGCAUACAGUUUGGAUUGGCGGUAUGGUUCUAUUCUGGGCAAGAACUCC
Sinocyclocheilus anshuiensis is the source of this 103-nucleotide long non-coding RNA. RefSeq lists it as uncharacterized. Lineage: Eukaryota; Metazoa; Chordata; Actinopteri; Cypriniformes; Cyprinidae. The transcript has 3 exons. The record is from RefSeq and is a predicted model, not a curated record.